RNAcentral lists this transfer RNA (73 nucleotides) under Coxiella endosymbiont of Dermacentor silvarum. RNAcentral's name for it is "tRNA-Ala". It matches the Rfam family "tRNA". From Rfam's summary of the family: Transfer RNA (tRNA) molecules are approximately 80 nucleotides in length. Their secondary structure includes four short double-helical elements and three loops (D, anti-codon, and T loops). Further hydrogen bonds mediate the characteristic L-shaped molecular structure. tRNAs have two regions of fundamental functional importance: the anti-codon, which is responsible for specific mRNA codon recognition, and the 3' end, to which the tRNAs corresponding amino acid is attached (by aminoacyl-tRNA synthetases). tRNAs cope with the degeneracy of the genetic code in two manners: having more than one tRNA (with a specific anti-codon) for a particular amino acid; and 'wobble' base-pairing, i.e. permitting non-standard base-pairing at the 3rd anti-codon position. Lineage: Bacteria; Pseudomonadati; Pseudomonadota; Gammaproteobacteria; Legionellales; Coxiellaceae. The record is from RNAcentral. RNAcentral also lists the same sequence under 1 other name.
GGGGCUAUAGCUCAGAUGGGAGAGUACUUGCAUGGCAUGCAAGAGGUCAGCGGUUCGAUCCCGCUUAGCUCCA